AUUGAACGCUGGCGGCAUGCCUUACACAUGCAAGUCGAACGGCAGCACGGGAUUCAGGCAACUGAGCCCUGGUGGCGAGCGGCGAACGGGUGAGUAACACGUGGGUGACCUGCCCUCAGCUCUGGGAUAAGCCUGGGAAACUGGGUCUAAUACUGGAUAUGACUCCACGGUGCAUGUCGUGGGGUGGAAAGCCUUGUGCGGCUGAGGANGGGCCCGCGGCCUAUCAGCUUGUUGGUGGGGUGAUGGCCUACCAAGGCGACGACGGGUAGCCGGCCUGAGAGGGCGACCGGCCACACUGGGACUGAGAC
This 308-nucleotide ribosomal RNA is filed under the name uncultured bacterium. RNAcentral describes it as "bacterial SSU rRNA". It matches the Rfam family "Bacterial small subunit ribosomal RNA", at positions 28 to 325 of the family's 1533-position model. The record is from RNAcentral.